Pelobates cultripes (western spadefoot toad) is the source of this 245-nucleotide non-coding RNA. The record is from the annotation of a GenBank genome assembly. NCBI's taxonomy places the organism in Eukaryota, Metazoa, Chordata, Amphibia, Anura, Pelobatidae.
GAUGGCAUACCAUUUACAAAAGUAGACAACCAAAGGUAUUGCAAGUGGGGUAUGUCCAGUCAUUUUUAGUAACCACUUAGUCACAAACACUGGCCAAACUUAGCGUUUGUUUUUUGAAUUUUUACACAAAAACAAAUGUGAGCGCUAUCUUUGACCAGUGUUUGUAAUUAAGUGGCUACUAAAAAAAUGGGCAUACCCCAUAUUGAAUACCAUUGGUUCUCUAGUUUUGCAAAUCAUAUGUAAUC